This 750-nucleotide ribosomal RNA is filed under the name uncultured Glomus. RNAcentral describes it as "SSU rRNA". It matches the Rfam family "Eukaryotic small subunit ribosomal RNA", at positions 338 to 1092 of the family's 1831-position model. Lineage: Eukaryota; Fungi; Glomeromycota; Glomeromycetes; Glomerales; Glomeraceae. The record is from RNAcentral.
GGCCUACCAUGGUGGUAACGGGUAACGGGGUGUUAGGGCACGACACCGGAGAGGGAGCCUGAGAAACGGCUACCACAUCCAAGGAUGGCAGCAGGCGCGCAAAUUACCCAAUCCCGACACGGGGAGGUAGUGACAAUAAAUAACAAUACGGGGUUCUUUCGGAUCUCGUAAUUGGAAUGAGUACAAUUUAAAUCUCUUAACGAGGAACAAUUGGAGGGCAAGUCUGGUGCCAGCAGCCGCGGUAAUUCCAGCUCCAAUAGCGUAUAUUAAAGUUGUUGCAGUUAAAAAGCUCGUAGUUGAAUUUCGGGAUCAGUAGGUUGGUCAUGCCUACGGUAUGUACUGGCUUUACUGGUUCCUCCUUCUUGAUGAUCUGUAAUGUCAUUAAUUUGGUGUUGCAGGGAGUCAGGACUGUUACUUUGAAAAAAUUAGAGUGUUUAAAGCAGGCAUACGCUUGAAUACAUUAGCAUGGAAUAAUGAAAUAGGACGUUCGAACCUAUUUUGUUGGUUUCUAGGAUUGACGUAAUGAUUAAUAGGGAUAGUUGGGGGCAUUAGUAUUCAAUUGUCAGAGGUGAAAUUCUUGGAUUUAUUGAAGACUAACUACUGCGAAAGCAUUUGCCAAGGAUGUUUUCAUUAAUCAAGAACGAAAGUUAGGGGAUCGAAGACGAUCAGAUACCGUCGUAGUCUUAACCAUAACUAUGCCGACUANGGAUCGGAUGAUGUUAUUUUUAAUGACUCAUUCGGCGCCUUACG